RNAcentral lists this ribosomal RNA (643 nucleotides) under uncultured Aulosira sp. Its description in RNAcentral is "bacterial SSU rRNA". It matches the Rfam family "Bacterial small subunit ribosomal RNA", at positions 123 to 798 of the family's 1533-position model. The record is from RNAcentral. Lineage: Bacteria; Bacillati; Cyanobacteriota; Cyanophyceae; Nostocales; Fortieaceae.
ANUCUAGNCUACAGGCCGGGGACAACCACUGGAAACGGUGGCUAAUACCGGAUGUGCCGAAAGGUGAAAGAUUUAUUGCCUGAAGAUGAGCUCGCGUCUGAUUAGCUAGUUGGUGUGGUAAGAGCGCACCAAGGCGACGAUCAGUAGCUGGUCUGAGAGGAUGAUCAGCCACACUGGGACUGAGACACGGCCCAGACUCCUACGGGAGGCAGCAGUGGGGAAUUUUCCGCAAUGGGCGAAAGCCUGACGGAGCAAUACCGCGUGAGGGAGGAAGGCUCUUGGGUUGUAAACCUCUUUUCUCAGGGAAUAAAAAAAUGAAGGUACCUGAGGAAUAAGCAUCGGCUAACUCCGUGCCAGCAGCCGCGGUAAUACGGAGGAUGCAAGCGUUAUCCGGAAUGAUUGGGCGUAAAGCGUCCGCAGGUGGCACUGUAAGUCUGCUGUUAAAGAGCAAGGCUCAACCUUGUAAAGGCAGUGGAAACUACAGAGCUAGAGUACGUUCGGGGCAGAGGGAAUUCCUGGUGUAGCGGUGAAAUGCGUAGAGAUCAGGAAGAACACCGGUGGCGAAAGCGCUCUGCUAGGCCGUAACUGACACUGAGGGACGAAAGCUAGGGGAGCGAAUGGGAUUAGUACCCCNNUUUCCAAA